RNAcentral lists this ribosomal RNA (457 nucleotides) under uncultured bacterium. RNAcentral's name for it is "SSU rRNA". It matches the Rfam family "Bacterial small subunit ribosomal RNA", at positions 26 to 518 of the family's 1533-position model. The record is from RNAcentral.
AGAAUCAACGCUGGCGGCGUGCCUAACACAUGCAAGUCGAACGAGAAAGUGGAGCAAUCCAUGAGUAAAGUGGCGACCGGGUGAGUAACACGUGACUAACCUACCUUCGAGUGGGGGAUAACAUCGGGAAACCGAUGCUAAUACCGCAUAACAUCGCAAGAUCAAAGCAGCAAUGCGCUGGAAGAGGGGGUCGCGGCUGAUUAGCUAGUUGGCGGGUAACGGCCCACCAAGGCGAAGAUCGGUAGCCGGCCUGAGAGGGCGCACGGCCACACUGGAACUGAAACACGGUCCAGACUCCUACGGGAGCAGCAGUGGGGAAUUUUGCGCAAUGGGGGAAACCCUGACGCAGCAACGCCGCGUGGAGGAUGAAGCCCCUUGGGUGUAAACUCCUUUCGACCAAGACGAUAAUGACGGUACUGGUGGAAGAAGCACCGGCUAACUCUGUGCCAGCAGCCGC